GCAGCGGCAGUCUGCGUGGGACGCAGUUUGCGGGACCUGGCCCCCGCCGUUUGGGCGGCCUGAGGAGCCUGAGGGCCGGCUGGGUCCUAGGCGUCUGGCUCCCUCAGUGAUGACAGCUGUGCAGGGUCUGGGGACCUGGUCCUGAGGGCACUGCCAGCUGGGAUCUGCCUCUUCAGCCGGGAGGACCCAGACUGGGUGCCGGACGAACGCUCCUGGGCAGGGUCACUGGCCCCCGCAGGGACCCCCUCCUCUUAGCCAGGACCUGGACCUCGGAGGGUGAAAGUUGAGCCUUAGGACCUUGCCCUUUCUUGUCAGAACAGAGAGUAACAUUUGUUGGGUGGAGAUUUACAGGAACGUCAUUACCUGACCGUGACCUGACCUCAAGAACAAAGGAUCUGACACCAAGAAAUUUACAACUAACCACGCCCCUCCCUCACCAUUGCUAUAAAAGGGCUUUGCUGAAAGCUUUCAGGGAGUUUAGGGUUUUUCAGGCAUGAACCACCCAUCUCCUUGCAUGGCCCUGCCAUAAACCUUUCUCUGCUCCAAACUCGGACGUUUUGGUAUUGUUUGGCCUCACUGUGCGUCGGGCACACAGACUUGCAUUCGGUAACACUAUCGCUGGAAAUUCCAAAGAUUUGGAAUUUGGAAUUUGGUUACCUUCUGGGAAUUAGGGACAAAGUCCAAUCAAAUUAACAUGAUGGUUCUUCCAAACCAAUACUGGCCUCUCUUUACGAAUUCUGGGGGAAAUUAGUCUCUGUCCCCUAAUACUGAUGUUCCAGUUAUCUCUUGCUGUGUAACUAACCACCCUAAAACUUAAUGGCUUUAAGCAACAGCCAUUUUAUCACUGCUCACUCUUCUGUAGGUUGACCGAAAUCAGCUCAGCAGUUCUGCUCCACGUGAUGGUGGCCAGGAGCUCAGCUGGGCUGGAAUGUCCUGGACGGGUCACUCACGUGCCUGUCAUAUUGUUGAUUUGACCAACGGUGGCACUUCAACUAGGCUGAGCCAAUGAGAUACUCGAAUACUGGAGCUGGACUGUCAAGGUUCAAAUCCCUAUUCCACUUCUUACCAGCAGUGAGCUCUAAGGUGGUAUAAUUUGUUCAAGGCAGCAAAGACUCGGCCUCUGAAUAUCGCGUUGUCUUUGAAGGAACAAUGGGCUGGUGUUGAUGUCUGCCUUUAAUCUCAAUUUAAAUAUCAUUUGAUAGUACGCUUUUGUUUCAAUGUCCAUAUUCCUUAAUGGUACAGUUAAAUCUCAUGACACAGAAAUUCAAUAUAGCGAAACUUGAAAGGAGAAUUUGUAUGUAUAAG
Molecule: long non-coding RNA, 1305 nt
Organism: Orcinus orca (killer whale)
Lineage: Eukaryota; Metazoa; Chordata; Mammalia; Artiodactyla; Delphinidae
Exons: 3
Source: RefSeq, a predicted model, not a curated record